GAUGAACGCUGGCGGCGUGCCUAAUACAUGCAAGUCGAGCGAACAGACGAGGAGCUUGCUCCUCUGACGUUAGCGGCGGACGGGUGAGUAACACGUGGAUAACCUACCUAUAAGACUGGGAUAACUUCGGGAAACCGGAGCUAAUACCGGAUCAUAUAUUGAACCGCAUGGUUCAAUAGUGAAAGACGGUUUUGCUGUCACUUAUAGAUGGAUCCGCGCCGCCUUAGCUAGUUGGUAAAGUAACCGCUUACCAAGGCGACGGAUCGGAGCCGGACCGAGAGGGGGAACCGGCAACACGGGACCUAGGACAGGUCCAGAACCCCAAGGGAGGGAAGCAUUGGGAAUACUUCGGAAAUGGGGGAAAGCCUGACGAGGCAACGCCGGGUGGGUGAUGAAGGUCUCCGGAUCGUAAAACCCUGUUAUUAGGAAAAAAAAAAGGUGUAAGUAACUAUGCAGGUCUGAAGGGACCCUAAUCAUAAAGCCCCGGUAAAUUACGG
This 497-nucleotide ribosomal RNA is filed under the name uncultured bacterium. RNAcentral describes it as "partial 16S ribosomal RNA". It matches the Rfam family "Bacterial small subunit ribosomal RNA", at positions 28 to 506 of the family's 1533-position model. The record is from RNAcentral.